Molecule: ribosomal RNA, 468 nt
Filed under: uncultured bacterium
Lineage: Bacteria
Description: partial 16S ribosomal RNA
Rfam family: Bacterial small subunit ribosomal RNA
Source: RNAcentral
GACGAACGCUGGCGGCGUGCUUAACACAUGCAAGUCGAACGGAAAGGCCCUGCUUUUGUGGGGUGCUCGAGUGGCGAACGGGUGAGUAACACGUGAGUAACCUGCCCUUGACUUUGGGAUAACUUCAGGAAACUGGGGCUAAUACCGGAUAGGAGCUCCUGCUGCAUGGUGGGGGUUGGAAAGUUUCGGCGGUUGGGGAUGGACUCGCGGCUUAUCAGCUUGUUGGUGGGGUAGUGGCUUACCAAGGCUUUGACGGGUAGCCGGCCUGGGAGGGUGACCGGCCACAUUGGGCCUGAGAUACGGCCCAGACUCCUACGGGAGGCAGCAGUGGGGAAUAUUGCACAAUGGGCGGAAGCCUGAUGCAGCAACGCCGCGUGCGGGAUGACGGCCUGCGGGUUGUAAACCGCUUUCGCCUGUGACGAAGCGUGAGUGACGGUAAUGGGUAAAGAAGCACCGGCUAACUACGUG